GGCACUAUGGCGGAGUGGUUAUCGCGUGGCACUAGAAUCACGGCCUUGCAUUCUAGAGCAUGUACUGCUCAACAACAAUAUGCCAUUCCCUCUGGGAGCACAGGUUCAAAUCCUGUUGGUGUCG
Non-coding RNA from Sporisorium reilianum f. sp. reilianum, 124 nucleotides. Lineage: Eukaryota; Fungi; Basidiomycota; Ustilaginomycetes; Ustilaginales; Ustilaginaceae. The record is from the annotation of a GenBank genome assembly.